GCCGGUGCAUUGCCUCAGUACGGCGAGUGAGCGGCAAAAGCUCAAAUUUUAAAGCUGGCAUCUUCGGUGUCCGCGUUGUAAUUUUGUGAGGCAUCUCCGGGUAGGGCGCCGGCCUAAGUUCCUUGGAACAGGACGUCACAGAGGGUGAGAAUCCCGUGCUUGGCUGGCUGUCCCCGUCCAUGUGAGGUGUCUUCGACGAGUCGAGUUGUUUGGGAAUGCAGCUCAAAAUGGGUGGUAAAUUUCAUCUAAAGCUAAAUAUUGGUGGGAGACCGAUAGCGCACAAGUAGAGUGAUCGAAAGAUGAAAAGCACUUUGAAAAUAGAGUUAAAAAGUACGUGAAAUUGUUGAAAGGGAAGCGCUUGAGACCAGACUUCGGUAGGGGGUGAUCACCCGUCCUUCUGGGCGGUGCACUUGCCCCCCUCCGGGCCAGCAUCGGUUGAGGCGGCGGGAUAAAGGUCCCGGGAAUGUGGCUCCUUCGCGGGAGUGUUAUAGCCCGGGUGAAUGCCGCCAGUCUCGACCGAGGACCGCACCCGCAAGGGUUAGGAUGCUUGGCAUAAUGGUCUUCAGCGACCCGUCUUGAAACACCGGACCA
Molecule: ribosomal RNA, 591 nt
Filed under: Morchella sp.
Lineage: Eukaryota; Fungi; Ascomycota; Pezizomycetes; Pezizales; Morchellaceae
Description: partial large subunit ribosomal RNA
Rfam family: Eukaryotic large subunit ribosomal RNA
Source: RNAcentral